AACGUAGGUGGCGAGCGUUAUCCGGAUUUACUGGGCGUAAAGCGUGCGCAGGCGGUGAUGUAAGACAGGUGUGAAAUCCCCGGGCUUAACCUGGGAACUGCAUUUGUGACUGCAUCGCUGGAGUGCGGCAGAGGGGGAUGGAAUUCCGCGUGUAGCAGUGAAAUGCGUAGAUAUGCGGAGGAACACCGAUGGCGAAGGCAAUCCCCUGGGCCUGCACUGACGCUCAUGCACGAAAGCGUGGGGAGCAAACAGG
This 253-nucleotide ribosomal RNA is filed under the name uncultured bacterium. RNAcentral's name for it is "partial 16S ribosomal RNA". It matches the Rfam family "Bacterial small subunit ribosomal RNA", at positions 524 to 776 of the family's 1533-position model. The record is from RNAcentral.